UUUUUCAUGUACGUCACACAC
Molecule: non-coding RNA, 21 nt
Filed under: Caenorhabditis elegans
Lineage: Eukaryota; Metazoa; Nematoda; Chromadorea; Rhabditida; Rhabditidae
Source: RNAcentral